Cucumis melo (muskmelon) is the source of this 857-nucleotide long non-coding RNA. RefSeq lists it as uncharacterized. The record is from RefSeq and is a predicted model, not a curated record. The transcript is spliced from 2 exons. NCBI's taxonomy places the organism in Eukaryota, Viridiplantae, Streptophyta, Magnoliopsida, Cucurbitales, Cucurbitaceae.
UAAAACCCUAAGGAUAGAGAGUCGCUGCCCUCCCCUUAUUUUAUUUUAUUUUAUUCUCUUUCUCUUCCUCAUCCUUCUUUAUUUUUUUUUUUCUUCUUUCUCCCCUUGUUUCUUUCUUUUCUGUUCUUUCUUUCUUCUACCUUCUCCCUCGGUCUGUUUCUUUUCUUUCUUUCCUUUCUUUUCUUUCUUUUCAUCUGCAUCUCCAUCUUCAUCUCCGAUUUCCCAUCUUUAUUUGAAAAAAAAAUCAAUAUCAAGAGUGAGAUUAAAAAGUUCUCCAUAUGGUGGUGCAAUUGGCGACCCGGGGGUGCGACCAUCGGAGAGUGAUGUGGCGGUGCGGAGAAGAUCGACGAAGAAAAGUGCAGCAAUGCGAUGGUGGAUUUUUUUCCCCUUUUUUCUCCGCUUGUCGUUUAUGAGAUUCAUUCACUCUUGCACGUGUACGAAUCUUAAAAAGGGACAUUUUUUGAGUAAGAAAUUUUGGCCAAUUAAAUUCUACCACUUCAUCACAACAAACUUUAGUAACUUUUGAAUCACUUAGAGGGACAACAAACGAGAAUGACACAAGAAACUUUCGUAACCCAAUUCAGCCAAUGAUGCCUACGUCUGGGGAGCUGCGCACAGCCCAGAUGAGUAAUUUUAUUAAGAUUCACUUUCAGUCAAAAUACAUAGAAUUAGGACAUGAACUUUUUUCUACUAUAUGACUAUUUAACAUGCUUAAUAGCUUCAGACAUCAGGCUCCCCCUGAAUGCAUGAGUCAUCAUUCUCGAUGUUGUCUGACUUUAGGCUCUCAUGAAUGCAUUAGUGAAUCUUUCGAACGUUGUUUUCAUACUCUAAUGAAGUUUCCGCUGUGAUCACUCAAA